Molecule: long non-coding RNA, 433 nt
Organism: Periophthalmus magnuspinnatus
Lineage: Eukaryota; Metazoa; Chordata; Actinopteri; Gobiiformes; Gobiidae
Exons: 4
Source: RefSeq, a predicted model, not a curated record
UCUUCAUGAAGAUUAUGAAACAGUGCUUUUUUAUAGUCACAUGCACCGUUGAUUUACAAACUCCCUGGACUUGUUCUUGAGGCAUGUUGAGCGACCACUCCUAUACUCCUGCGCCAUUUCUUCUAUCCUGCUACUCCCUCUAGAACGAAAACAUCAGCCAUCUGGUCCAGGGUUCAAAGGUCAACUCUCAGGCUGAUCUUGUUGAAAUUCAGGUGGUGGGUAGAGACACCUCCUCAGCCCACAGGAACUCAAAUUGUUUGCGAGAACCAUUCUGUGAGAGGCAGCUUUCCAAAUGCAUCAUGCGCUCGUCAUAAGAUGUGCAGAUGGAUGAGGCCUGGAUGGUGUACCUCUCAGUCACCCACUCUACCCCCGCCCAGUUCGCUCCCCAGUGGCCCGGUGAUGGAUUGCAGACCGCAGGGGUGAAGGUGGAGAG